GUGCUCUGUACAGGUAGGGGGCUAGGGUUCCACCUGUAGUGCUUAUACCCAUAUAGGGAGCCCCAUAGUCAGAGCCCAGGGAGUUAACCCUUCCCAUUCAGCCAUCAUAGUGAUUGGGACUAGUGCAGCCGGCCUGAGCUGUUGCUAGGGGAGGAAUCCCUGUAGGACCUCAGGCCAGCAUGUACACUGGAUCUGGAUUUGGGAUUACCCAGCAGCCUCUGUGCUGCAGUGGAUCCUCAGGGUCCCAGGAAGCCUUUCUCCAGCAUCUCAAGGCGAGGAUUAAAGCUGCCAGACUGCUGCCCUGCCCGGCUCUGUUCCACAGGAUUUAUUCCUCUCUCGCUGGCACCGGGAGUUGGAAACAUUGCUGUGUUAAUGUAAGGCAUGAUGAUCCAUCCUAACCAGCAGUCCCAGUGCAACUGGUUUGCAUGAGAGAGACAAGAAGAAAUGGCGAGGUAGGAUCCUAAACUAAGGCUUCCGCAGCUAAAACUGCACUAAAGGUGCCCAUACACGGUAAGAUUUGCCCGAGCAACGAGAAAAUCUUCUUCCCAAUAUGCCUACCUUGGGUGAGCGAUAUCAUGCUAAUGCAAUUGUUUGACCCUAGGGCUAGGAAUAAAAAUAGGACAAGCUGGAGCGAGGACCAUGAAAAUCAAGCCUGUCCUAUUGACAUCUUGCCAGAUAAGCUACCAAGUUGCUCUUAAGGACUGAUAUAAGCAGCCUAGAUCUGCCCGUGUAUGGCCACCUUAAGAGUCAAGUGGAUGACUGCAACAUGUUAACAAAACCAGUGGAACAUUUGUGUGGAACUCACCUCAUGAGCUGUAAUUAUGAAGAGGACAUGAAAGUAUUCCUCCACAGUCUGCAGCCAACAUUGGCCGUGGGGCUGUGGUUAAUGGUGGGCCGGCAACAUUGACUUUGCAAACUCUCAUCAUUCAUUUGAAUUUGGGCUCUUUGUCUGUGAACCUUGGUCUGUUGUUGAAGUACGAAUGUUUUGAAGAGCUGAAGAUAGCCCAAGCCAAGUCUUCAAUGCCUAUUGUAGUUAUUAACACUCCUCAAACGUUUGAAAUAAAUAUUAAAAUGAAUGUAAA
This is a long non-coding RNA of Xenopus tropicalis (tropical clawed frog), 1082 nucleotides long. RefSeq lists it as uncharacterized. The record is from RefSeq and is a predicted model, not a curated record. Lineage: Eukaryota; Metazoa; Chordata; Amphibia; Anura; Pipidae. The transcript is spliced from 2 exons.